AGAGAGAGAGAGAGAGAGAGAGAGAGAGAGAGAGAGAGAGAGAGAGAGAGAGAGAGAGAGAGAGAGAGAGAGAGAGAGAGAGAGAGAGAGAGAGAAACCACCACUAAGAACUUCCACCCCGGACUGCUGGUGCUUCUGUGCCUCACACCACAUCUUUUAUGACAAUGAUUAAUGACUUCUGCUUGCCUGGGGGUCGACACCUCUCCAUUAGCGGCUCACACGCCAGCAGAGCAGCGGCCUGAGUGACACUAGCCAGCUCCCCAGCCCAUCUUCAGCCUUGAAAAUUGAUAUAAUGACAACGUCGAGGUCACACGACCGUCCUUAUGGGUCACCAUAAUAGAGGGGAGACAAGAGGAAAUUAAUGUGGUGCGGGAACAGGGACCGCCAGCCGUCCCCGUGACCAGCCACCACCACGACAACAUCCCGUCCCCUCAUCCCACAGCGGGGAAGCAGCGGCCAAUGCACCGCUCCUGAACUUCCCUCAGGCCAGGCGACACCACACUGACGACCCGACUGGACACACCUGAUUCACUGCAGCACGGCCCGCCACCAACCGCCCGCUGACAGACAUCCCCAGGGAAUUCUUCCUCUUCCCGUUACCCAGCCUCGCCUACCCCGCCUCGCCUCCCACCAUUAUGACCUCGCUGUGUCGGCACCAGAUAAACUUCCCUAAUAAUAAAUGAAGGCGAUAAAUUUACCUUUCAAGCCGUUAGUGGUCGACGUGCCUCUUCCCCCACCAAGCCUGAGGUGCAGGAGUCCUUGUAGCUGGCGGCUGGACGAGGAGGACGAAGAAACACACGAGGACGCCGGUCUUUCACGAGGCAGCCAUACACGGGAGAUUAACCCCUUCAGUACUGGGACGCAUUUUUUCUUGAGUUUUGGAUAAGAUUAGACGAUCUUAUUUACAUGAGGAUGGGUCUAUGGAGUUCAGAAGAUUAAUGGUCAGAGUCUUCACUUUCUUAAUCCCCAAGUAAGUUUCUGAAGUUGUGUAAAAUCACCAAAUACUAACCUGAAUAAAUGUGAAGACCUGUCCUGGUACUGAAGGGGUUAAUAAGCUACACAAACACCACCGAUGAUCAAAGGCGAAAAAUCACGAGAUGCGGAGAGUACAUAGCAACAGACUGAGUCGAGGAGAGCGAGUCAAUACUGGUGGAGAUGGUGGUGGUGGGAUACGGAAAGGGAGUAUACCAUGGCAGCUUCAGCGGCGAUUCGAAGCACUACAAUGAAUCCUGUAAGAGAAUUAUUACGAUGCGUGACUGAGGAGUUUCGCCAGCAUUCAGAAACGCCUUCCCUUCUCACUAUGAUGAUUUUGCAAGGCCACAGACACAACUAGAUAGGAUUUCAAUACCAUUGUGGUAACCUGACGCAGUCAAAGAAGAAAGAAGAAAUAAGAGGGAAGAAACAAGAAAAGAGAAUACAAGGAGAAAAGCAGAAACAUGAAGGAGGAAGAGAAAAAAAUAGAGAAAAGUAGAAAAACAUUGUACCAUGUAGUAGGAUUUUUGGUAGGGGUUUGAGUGUAACAAAUGACGGUCUGCCCAAAGGUCUACCCAUGACCAGACUCAAACAUAACAUGUAAACAUAGAAAUGAGGGAGUUGACAGAAAUAUAUGGGGUGGUGGUUGAAAGGAAUUCAGUGGAGGCACACAUGGUCCUGACCUGUGGAACGCAGGUCACCGCAAGCGAGGGGACACUUUGGCUAGUGCCAUACCUUACCUCAGAUACCAGGAUUGGGUGAAAUAUAGUGCCACGCCUAGGGGGCGUGUCUAUGUAGAAUGUAUUUUUGGGGAUUGGGUCAAAAUAUACCUUGCCACGCCUAAAGGGUGUGUUUGGGUAACUUAUAUUACUGUGGAUUGGGUCAAGAUAUAACUGCCCAUGCCUAAGGGUGUAUCUGGAUGACUUGUGUUAUUGUGGAUUGGGUCAAGAUGCAUUGCCACGCCUAGAGGGUUGGAAAAUAACAUGUGUAUUACUGGGGAUUGGUUUAAAAAGUACAUUGUCACACUUGUAGGGUGUGACUUAGGUGAGAUGUGCAUUUCUGCUUGGAAAAUAUGGAAACUAACAAUCUAGGAGUAUAAAAUAAGUUGUAACUGAGGGGAAAAAAGGCUUUUUGUUGGGAGUCAAGAAAAGAGAGCUAGAGGGAGAAGGUCGCAGGCUCCUGACUGGAGAGGCGUCAGAGGCGACAUGGAGAAUUCUUGUAUUAGUAAGUGAAGCUUAAACAGUUGGUGGUGCAGUUUUAGUUAAUUAUCACCUCAUGGAGUAGAGGAGGAUAGAAUAUUUUAGGAUGUCAUAUUUGUAGGAUGUUUAGAUUUAAGAUUUGUGGUGGAUUUGAUAUGUUGUGUGAGAUGGAUUUGGAAUAUGUUGAGUGAGUUUGAUUUUGAAUGUUGAUACUUGGAUUUUGAUGAAAAACUUUUGAGAACAGUGUCACUUAUAUGGAAUGAGAAUUUGCUACUUGCUGAAGUAAUUAUUGAUGAAUAUUGUGUACGUAGUUUUAAUGUAAUUAAAUGUCGAAAAUUUAGCA
Molecule: long non-coding RNA, 2514 nt
Organism: Portunus trituberculatus (swimming crab)
Lineage: Eukaryota; Metazoa; Arthropoda; Malacostraca; Decapoda; Portunidae
Exons: 3
Source: RefSeq, a predicted model, not a curated record